UUUUCGUCUAUUAUAUUUCAAAUCCAGUGUCUUCUGUUGCAAGUGUUAGCCUUGGAGGGGAGGGGCCGGAUUAACCGAGUUAUCUUUGGCCGCGAAAUUUUGUAAUCAAGAAUAGCAAUUAUAUCAAUUUGUAUGAACAACUUUUAAGACAAGUUUAAGAUCUAAAACGAUAACAAAAGUCCAUUUUAUAGCAUUGUUUAUUUUCUGUAUUCUUACUUAUACUGACUUUUUUCUUUUCCGUUUUUUAAUAUAAUUUUCAUAAAUUAUUUCAACUUUCCAUAUGAUUUAUUUUAUUUUAUAUUUGUUGGAAGUUAAACACCUGUUAUGAGAAAGUUGGUUUACCCCAUUCUCCCACAUGAAUGGAAAGAUCCUACGAAUGAAAUGACGGUAUAGUAUGGAACGCCA
Molecule: long non-coding RNA, 405 nt
Filed under: Mytilus galloprovincialis (Mediterranean mussel)
Lineage: Eukaryota; Metazoa; Mollusca; Bivalvia; Mytilida; Mytilidae
Source: RNAcentral